Molecule: non-coding RNA, 945 nt
Organism: Procambarus clarkii (red swamp crayfish)
Lineage: Eukaryota; Metazoa; Arthropoda; Malacostraca; Decapoda; Cambaridae
Source: RefSeq, a predicted model, not a curated record
GAGGCUCGACGGAACGUUAUUUUGACCCCAGUAUUGGCAAAGUUGUGGUGUACAAGUUAGUGUUAGGGCGUGAUGUUACUCUGAGCUGGUACCCCGUUACCCUUUGGGGUCGCUAGGGCUGACAGAUCCCCUAGCUUACACUCAUAUUGUACACCCGCAAAACGCCAAUACAUAGGGUCAAAAAUAUCAAAUAUCUAUUUUACUGCUGCCGUAUAUACCCUCUUUGGGGAUAUAUAUAGGCAGUUCAUUUUAGUCCUGAUCCCUAAUCAGUAUUAAAAAAUGUAUAAAUAUGUAUUGAAUUGUACCGUUAUUAAUUUCAGGGCUAUUGAAGUGAAUGAGGUAAUGGUUGGAAGAGGCAUCGCUUGAAAGGAGCCUACUGGUGAUGCGGAAAUGUGGAGGAGACUACCGUUGUGAUGGGACCAGUGGUGGACCGAUGAAUCAAGUCUUAGACGAUGCAGAGCAGAAGGUAAUACCGGAGUGAUUGGCAGGACCCCUGGGCUGUCUGGAAGUUGAAUAGUGAGACGCUUCAACUUCAUUAUUCGUGAACACUUGGCAAACCGACUACGGAAGGCGCACAAGGUACACCAUUGAUGAAGGAAAAGGGAUGGAGCGUGAGGGCAGACUACUGCCCCCAUGAGGUGGACACAUUCGUAGUUACAGCGGGCAGCCGCCACGUUCGCCAUUGUGGGUUUUGGGUUCCGCGCGGCUGUCCCUGGCGGGAUUGUGGGUGCUCCGGCGGAACCCGGAAAUUGAUAAAAUAUUUCUUAGCUAUCUGCAGGCUUGAUUAUUUUCAUUACAAAUCAUGUCAGUUUAAUGUAGUACCUAUAGAUGUAUUGUUUAAUUGUAAAUUGUUUUAAGUUUAUAAAUAAGGAUGAAUCAUUAAGUAAUGAUUAAUACAUUGUUAUGCACUAGUCAAUAAAUAUUUAUGAAUCAUCGUAAUUAUUU